GGGCCUGUAGCUCAGCUGGUUAGAGCACCUGCUUUGCAAGCAGGGGGUCAGGAGUUCGAAUCUCCUCAGGUCCA
Molecule: transfer RNA, 74 nt
Filed under: Candidatus Magasanikiibacteriota bacterium
Lineage: Bacteria; Candidatus Magasanikiibacteriota
Description: Candidatus Magasanikbacteria bacterium tRNA-Ala
Rfam family: tRNA
About the family: Transfer RNA (tRNA) molecules are approximately 80 nucleotides in length. Their secondary structure includes four short double-helical elements and three loops (D, anti-codon, and T loops).
Source: RNAcentral